GAUGAACGCUGGCGGCGUGCUUAACACAUGCAAGUCGAACGAAGCGCUUUAUUUGAUUUCCUUCGGGACUGAUUAUUUUGUGACUGAGUGGCGGACGGGUGAGUAACGCGUGGGUAACCUGCCUUGUACAGGGGGAUAACAGUUGGAAACGGCUGCUAAUACCGCAUAAGCGCACAGCAUCGCAUGAUGCAGUGUGAAAAACUCCGGUGGUAUAAGAUGGACCCGCGUUGGAUUAGCUAGUUGGUGAGGUAACGGCCCACCAAGGCGACGAUCCAUAGCCGACCUGAUAGGGUGACCGGCCACAUUGGGACUGAGACACGGCCCAAACUCCUACGGGAGGCAGCAGUGGGGAAUAUUGCACAAUGGGCGAAAGCCUGAUGCAGCGACGCCGCGUGAGCGAAGAAGUAUUUCGGUAUGUAAAGCUCUAUCAGCAGGGAAGAUAAUGACGUUACCUGACUAAGAAGCACCGGCUAAAUACGUG
Molecule: ribosomal RNA, 481 nt
Filed under: uncultured bacterium
Lineage: Bacteria
Description: partial 16S ribosomal RNA
Rfam family: Bacterial small subunit ribosomal RNA
Source: RNAcentral